GUCCCCAUCGUCUAGAGGCCUAGGACACCGCCCUUUCACGGCGGUAACAGGGGUUCGAAUCCCCUUGGGGACG
This is a non-coding RNA of Pseudoalteromonas lipolytica SCSIO 04301, 73 nucleotides long. The record is from Rfam. NCBI's taxonomy places the organism in Bacteria, Pseudomonadati, Pseudomonadota, Gammaproteobacteria, Alteromonadales, Pseudoalteromonadaceae.